Non-coding RNA from Otolemur garnettii (small-eared galago), 75 nucleotides. NCBI's taxonomy places the organism in Eukaryota, Metazoa, Chordata, Mammalia, Primates, Galagidae. The record is from Rfam.
GUGCCUGUGGCUCAAAAGGGUAGGGCACUGGGCCCAUAUGCCAGAGGUGGCUGGUUCAAACCCAACCCUGGCCCA